ACCUCGCCGUCUAAAAUUGGAGCACAUUUGCUACUCCUGACUAAUAGAACUCCAACUCAGAUUUGACCAAGUUAUUUUUUUAUUGACAUGGAGCUCCACUCGGACAACCCUCUACCUCUCCCUCUCAAACAUUUGCAACCAAGCAGGAGGGAUAGGGUUAAGAGGGGAUUGUUUGAGUUUUUUUUUUUUUUUUAAAUAAGCCACUAGGGUAAUUUUAUAAAUUAGGAAAACCAAAAGGGUCCAAAAAUAAAGCAAAAAGCGGAAAAAGGAAAGUGAAAAUCUUGCAACAAAUUAGAUUUGCAAACUCUAUGUUAUUUGGCCGUUUAUUCGCUCUCCUGUCGGCACUCUAGAACCUUGAUUUCUCUGUGCAAAUCUGCGUCCAAUUCAUCUUCUCAAUGCAAAAUGAAGGUGAAAUCUUUGUUGUUGCUAUGCAUCCUCGUCUAUUCCAGGUGUGAAUCUGAAGAAAUGCUCUUAGCGGCCCUAAAUGAUAUCUGCUCCACCACUUCAGGCGACAAUCAUCACUGGAGCUUCUUCCAAUGUUCCUCGUUGUUGUUCUCCGUGUGUUUCUUUUGUGCUUGAAAGCUCAAUCUCUCACUAUACUUGUCAAUUUUCAUCUCCAUGAUGCCAUUGCAUUGUUGCUUUCUCGCAAAUCGGAGCUCCGCUGCAUUGAUUCAUGUCUUGUACUUCUCAAAACCACCUCCGUCCGAAUAUCAAUUUCAAGUCCGAUGUAGUUGCAUUUUCAGCGAGUAGACGAGGAACAUGUUAAAUGUCAACAUUGUGGUCAAAUAUAUCUCCAUAAGUCUGAACCGGUUUUUGGGGGUACCGGUCCGUUAUGUAGGCACUUGGACAAAAGGCACAAAAUUGAACUUUGAAGUUUAUCUCUUCUUUAAAUUUCUCCAUCGAUGCUAGCGUUUUGAACUUUUCAUUCGUAAUAAGUUAACCGUUCAAGUUUAUAUGUUUUGAAUUUGCAAUGUUAUCAAUUUAAGUUUGAAGUUUUAUUUUAAA
Lycium ferocissimum is the source of this 1005-nucleotide long non-coding RNA. RefSeq lists it as uncharacterized. The record is from RefSeq and is a predicted model, not a curated record. Lineage: Eukaryota; Viridiplantae; Streptophyta; Magnoliopsida; Solanales; Solanaceae. The transcript is spliced from 2 exons.